UACGAAGGGGGCUAGCGUUGUUCGGAAUUACUGGGCGUAAAGGGCGCGUAGGCGGCCUGUUAAGUCGAACGUGAAAUCCCCGGGCUCAACCCGGGAACUGCGUCCGAUACUGGCAGGCUUGAAUCCGGGAGAGGGAUGUGGAAUUCCAGGUGUAGCGGUGAAAUGCGUAGAUAUCUGGAGGAACACCGGUGGCGAAGGCGACAUCCUGGACCGGUAUUGACGCUGAGGCGCGAAAGCCAGGGGAGCAAACGGG
RNAcentral lists this ribosomal RNA (253 nucleotides) under uncultured bacterium. Its description in RNAcentral is "partial 16S ribosomal RNA". It matches the Rfam family "Bacterial small subunit ribosomal RNA", at positions 524 to 776 of the family's 1533-position model. The record is from RNAcentral.